Notechis scutatus (mainland tiger snake) is the source of this 197-nucleotide non-coding RNA. NCBI's taxonomy places the organism in Eukaryota, Metazoa, Chordata, Lepidosauria, Squamata, Elapidae. The record is from RefSeq and is a predicted model, not a curated record.
UGUCCAACCCAUCGCGACCCCAUGGACAACGUUCCUCCAGGCCUUCCUGUCCUCUACCUUCCCCAGAGUCUAUUUAAGCUCAUGUCUACUGCUUCUGUGACUCCAUCCAGCCACCUCCUUCUCUGCCAUCCCCUUCUUCUUUUGCCCUCAACCAUUCCCAGCAUUCGGCUCUUCUCCAUACAAGUACAUCUUGCCCC